GAUGAACGCUGGCGGCGUGCCUAAUACAUGCAAGUCGAGCGAACAGACGAGGAGCUUGCUCCUCUGACGUUAGCGGCGGACGGGUGAGUAACACGUGGAUAACCUACCUAUAAGACUGGGAUAACUUCGGGAAACCGGAGCUAAUACCGGAUAACAUGUUGAACCGCAUGGUUCAACAGUGGAAGACGGUUUUGCUGUCACUUAUAGAUGGAUCCGCGCCGCAUUAGCUAGUUGGUAAGGUAACGGCUUACCAAGGCAACGAUGCGUAGCCGACCUGAGAGGGUGAUCGGCCACACUGGAACUGAGACACGGUCCAGACUCCUACGGGAGGCAGCAGUAGGGAAUCUUCCGCAAUGGGCGAAAGCCUGACGGAGCAACGCCGCGUGAGUGAAGAAGGUCUUCGGAUCGUAAAACUCUGUUAUUAGGGAAGAACAAAUGUGUAAGUAACUAUGCACGUCUUGACGGUACCUAAUCAGAAAGCCACGGCUAACUACGUG
RNAcentral lists this ribosomal RNA (497 nucleotides) under uncultured bacterium. RNAcentral's name for it is "partial 16S ribosomal RNA". It matches the Rfam family "Bacterial small subunit ribosomal RNA", at positions 28 to 507 of the family's 1533-position model. The record is from RNAcentral.